AAGACUAUAGACCUGCGGAGUACCUGCGGAGGGAUCAUUACAGAGUUGCAAAACUCCCUAACCCUUGUGAACAUACCUGUACGUCGUUGCUUCGGCGGGUAGCCCCUUUACGGGGCCUCGACCUCCCAGCGAGGUUGCCCGCCGGAGGACCACACAAAACUCUUGAAUUAAUGGCUUCUCUGAGUAUUAAUCAAAUAAGUUAAAACUUUUAACAAUGGAUCUCUAGAUCGGAAGAGCACA
RNAcentral lists this unclassified non-coding RNA (240 nucleotides) under soil metagenome. RNAcentral describes it as "partial contains 5.8S ribosomal RNA, internal transcribed spacer 2, and large subunit ribosomal RNA". The record is from RNAcentral.